AUGAACGCUGGCGGCGUGCCUAAUACAUGCAAGUCGAGCGAACGGACGAGAAGCUUGCUUCUCUGAUGUUAGCGGCGGACGGGUGAGUAACACGUGGAUAACCUACCUAUAAGACUGGGAUAACUUCGGGAAACCGGAGCUAAUACCGGAUAAUAUUUUGAACCGCAUGGUUCAAAAGUGAAAGACGGUCUUGCUGUCACUUAUAGAUGGAUCCGCGCUGCAUUAGCUAGUUGGUAAGGUAACGGCUUACCAAGGCAACGAUGCAUAGCCGACCUGAGAGGGUGAUCGGCCACACUGGAACGGAGACACGGUCCAGACUCCUACGGGAGGCAGCAGCAGGGAAUCUUCCGCAAUGGGCGAAAGCCUGACGGAGCAACGCCGCGUGAGUGAUGAAGGUCUUCGGAUCGUAAAACUCUGUUAUUAGGGAAGAACAUAUGUGUAAGUAACUGUGCACAUCUUGACGGUACCUAAUCAGAAAGCCACGGCUAACUACGUG
This 496-nucleotide ribosomal RNA is filed under the name uncultured bacterium. RNAcentral describes it as "partial 16S ribosomal RNA". It matches the Rfam family "Bacterial small subunit ribosomal RNA", at positions 29 to 507 of the family's 1533-position model. The record is from RNAcentral.